AUACGUAGGGGGCAAGCGUUGUCCGGAAUUACUGGGCGUAAAGGGCGUGUAGGCGGCCGAGCAAGUCAAGUGUGAAGAGCCCCGGCUUAACCGAGGCAUUGCACAUGAAACUGCUUGGCUUGAGUGCAGGAGAGGGAAGUGGAAUUCCUAGUGUAGCGGUGAAAUGCGUAGAUAUUAGGAGGAACACCAGUGGCGAAGGCGACUUCCUGGACUGUAACUGACGCUGAGGCGCGAAAGCGUGGGUAGCAAACAGGAUUAGAUACCCUGGUAGUCCACGCCGUAAACGAUGGGUACUAGGUGUGGGUAGUUCACUCUAUCCGUGCCGCAGCAAACGCAAUAAGUACCCCGCCUGGGGAGUACGGCCGCAAGGUUGAA
RNAcentral lists this ribosomal RNA (375 nucleotides) under uncultured bacterium. RNAcentral's name for it is "bacterial SSU rRNA". It matches the Rfam family "Bacterial small subunit ribosomal RNA", at positions 523 to 898 of the family's 1533-position model. The record is from RNAcentral.